GUCCAGACUCCUACGGGAGGCAGCAGUGGGGAAUAUUGCACAAUGGGGGGAACCCUGAUGCAGCGACGCCGCGUGAGUGAAGAAGUAUUUCGGUAUGUAAAGCUCUCUCAGCAGGGACGAAGAUGACGGUACCUGCAGAAGAAGCCCCGGCUAACUACGUGCCAGCAGCCGCGGUAAUACGUAGGGGGCAAGCGUUAUCCGGAUUUACUGGGUGUAAAGGGGGCGCAGACGGCGAUGCAAGCCAGGAGUGAAAGCCCGGGGCCCAACCCCGGGACUGCUCUUGGAACUGCGUGGCUGGAGUGCAGGAGGGGCAGGCGGAAUUCCUGGUGUAGCGGUGAAAUGCGUAGAUAUCAGGAGGAACACCGGUGGCGAAGGCGGCCUGCUGGACUGCAACUGACGUUGAGGCCCGAAAGCGUGGGGAGCAAACAGGAUUAGAUACCCCGGUAACC
RNAcentral lists this ribosomal RNA (449 nucleotides) under uncultured bacterium. RNAcentral describes it as "partial 16S ribosomal RNA". It matches the Rfam family "Bacterial small subunit ribosomal RNA", at positions 329 to 795 of the family's 1533-position model. The record is from RNAcentral.